AUAAUAGGGUUGUCAGGGAAUUAUUCAUGACAGAUUUACUGUUGUAAAAUAUUUUAUUAGAUAGUUACAGUUGAGUUACUUGAAUAAAACUGACUUGAUAUAUUCCAGAUAAAAAUUUCAUAGUACUCACUCAUAAAUGACUAACCAUCUCUGAGAAAGUAAUAAAAAUGUUGAUAAUUAUUUCAUCACUCUUAAAAAAUGACAACUUAUUCCUGUUAUUUCCUAUUCAAGUAAUUAUUUCUUCAAGAAUUUGGUAUUAUUUACAAAAUAGACACUUGUAACAGUUGAUACAAUUUGGCAAUUAUGGUCAAACUCAUCACAAGUAGAUGAAUAGUCCUCCAGUUAAUACCUUAACAAACAACAAAAGACUAAAACAAUAGCCCAUUUUUUUGUUUUCCCAUGGGACCUUAACCGUAAAAACUUUAAAAACUUAUCGAGAAGCUUUCUAUAUAAAUAUUUGCACGUUCAAACAUACAUUAUUAACCAAUUUUUACAUUUCAUAAGUUUUAAAACAUUUCACGUACAAUUCUGAAUCAGCACAGAAUAAGCAGAAUUUCCAAAUUCCUAGUUCCAAAAUAAGGUAUUUUAUCAUAAUAUUUCUAACGUGGUCUUCUUGGAAGACAUCACAUUGAAAUUAGUUCCAAUUUUUAUUUUCAGAAAAUACAAAUUUGGAAGUCUUGAAGAAAGUGAUUUUUACUGUAACAAAAUUUUAGAUCUGAUAAAAGCCCUUACCCCCUAGAAAAGCUUGCUGUGCAAAACUUUCAGUUAUCUCAGAGUAGCUCAUUAUGACGUACUCAUAGCAAAAAGCUUGCACUCAAACUCAGCUAUUUUCAAACUGAGAACGUUUCAAAUUAAAUUGAAAGAGUGCAGAAAAAUUCAAGCUAUACUCAAGGGAGCUAAAAGUCAUCCAGAACCAAUAAUUAAAGCUUUUAAGGAAGCACAUUUAGGAGGAAGAAACCUACUCCGCUGACUUUCACUUUAAUCAUCCUCUCAAACAACCUAGGAUGAUUUUACAGUUUCCACGCUACCUUUUAAGGCCAGGCUGGAUGAGGCUUUCAGCACCCUGGUCUGGUGGGAGGUGUCCCCGCCCAUGGCAGGGAGGCUGGAACCAGGUGAUUUUUAAGGUCCCUUCCAACCCAAGCCAUUCUGUGCCACCUUCUUAUAAAGUAGUGAAGGAUUUCAUGAAGGAUCUAACAUGGCAAGUCACUAACGUUGUGAAAGACUGUUGUCAGUGCACAACUUAAAAUGUGUAUGAUUCACGGCUAUUCCUGGGUUUCGAAAUUUUAAUACAGAAAUACCGAAAGGUCAAACACAACUCCUAAUUACAGCUGGCGUCCUAGUGAGAGACUCCCUUUGCUUAUCCCAUCUAUAUGCUGGAACAGGCAGUACUACUACCACUGUCAGUUUGAGGGCAGGAAUAUCCCUUUCCCAGUUCCAAGCCUAAAAAAAAAAACCUACGAUCAAUACGUACUUCUCCACCUCUACAAUCAAUACGUACUUCUCCACCUAGGAUGACUUUCCCUUUAAUAACAGGGAUUACAGAAUGGUAACUGAUUUGCUCUGAACACACUGAUCUUUUAGCAAGUAUGAAUGUGUUAUUUGUACUGUCUAGAACAUAAAACAGCUUUCACGAACAGAGUUGCCUCUAUUUUAGACUGACCCUUCCCAAGAAAGGAUUUCACUCAUCGUAUGUAUUGUUGGAGAGGGUUUUCUACCAAAAUCAAUGAAAGUUCUUAAAAAGAGGCUGUUGAAGGAAAAAAGAAGUGAUUGGAAAUACCCUGCAAGUUUUAAUUUCUUUCCCUUACAGAUCUGCUGUAGGACAUAGCUGCACUGAUAAUCCAUGAUUCAUGGUAUUACAAUAAUGCCUGAUGGCCUCAAUCAGGAAUUGCUAUUCAACUUACUGUACAUCAUGGCGCAUGAACCAGAACUGCAUUUUUCAACUGCUAGCAAACAGGGCUAGACCCACACCUAUGGUUAAUUCUGUGGCAAAUUGAAGAAGCCAAGAAACUGGGCCCACAAAAAGCGUCACAAGCUUCAAUUACAAGUUAAAUUCACUACAGUAAGAAAAGGAAACAAGAACUGUUUUGUAAUGAAAUAAGUUCAAACAAAAUCUCACCCGUAAUCACACACAAAUGCUAAUACCACCGUUACAGGAGUUUUCAUUACAUAAAGAAAUAAAUGAUACCAAAA
Molecule: long non-coding RNA, 2190 nt
Organism: Cygnus olor (mute swan)
Lineage: Eukaryota; Metazoa; Chordata; Aves; Anseriformes; Anatidae
Exons: 2
Source: RefSeq, a predicted model, not a curated record